GACGAACGCUGGCGGCGUGCUUAACACAUGCAAGUCGAACGGAAAGGCCCUGCUCUUGUGGGGUGCUCGAGUGGCGAACGGGUGAGUAACACGUGAGUAACCUGCCCUUGACUUUGGGAUAACUUCAGGAAACUGGGGCUAAUACCGGAUAGGAGCUCCUGCUGCAUGGUGGGGGUUGGAAAGUUUCGGCGGUUGGGGAUGGACUCGCGGCUUAUCAGCUUGUUGGUGGGGUAGGGGCUUACCAAGGCUUUGACGGGUAGCCGGCCUGAGAGGGUGACCGGCCACAUUGGGACUGAGGUAGGGCCCAGACGCCUACGGGAGGCAGCAGUGGGGAAUAUUGCACAAUGGGCGGAAGCCUGAUGCGGCAGCGCCGCGUGCGGGAUGACGGCCUUCGGGUUGUAAACCGCUUUCGCCGGUGACGAAGCGUGAGUGACGGUAAUGGGUAAAGAAGCACCGGCUAACUACGUG
RNAcentral lists this ribosomal RNA (468 nucleotides) under uncultured bacterium. RNAcentral describes it as "partial 16S ribosomal RNA". It matches the Rfam family "Bacterial small subunit ribosomal RNA", at positions 28 to 507 of the family's 1533-position model. The record is from RNAcentral.